GACGAACGCUGGCGGCGUGCCUAAUACAUGCAAGUAGAACGCUGAAGGAGGAGCUUGCUCUUUCCGGAUGAGUUGCGAACGGGUGAGUAACGCGUAGGUAACCUGCCUGGUAGCGGGGGAUAACUAUUGGAAACGAUAGCUAAUACCGCAUAAGAGUAGAUAUCGCAUGAUAGCUGCUUGAAAGGUGCAAUUGCACCACUACCAGAUGGACCUGCGUUGUAUUAGCUAGUUGGUGAGGUAACGGCUCACCAAGGCAACGAUACAUAGCCGACCUGAGAGGGUGAUCGGCCACACUGGGACUGAGACACGGCCCAGACUCCUACGGGAGGCAGCAGUAGGGAAUCUUCGGCAAUGGACGGAAGUCUGACCGAGCAACGCCGCGUGAGUGAAGAAGGUUUUCGGAUCGUAAAGCUCUGUUGUAAGAGAAGAACGAGUGUGAGAGUGGAAAGUUCACACUGUGACGGUAUCUUACCAGAAAGGGAC
This 483-nucleotide ribosomal RNA is filed under the name uncultured bacterium. Its description in RNAcentral is "bacterial SSU rRNA". It matches the Rfam family "Bacterial small subunit ribosomal RNA", at positions 28 to 494 of the family's 1533-position model. The record is from RNAcentral.